UUGAAUUCUGAUUUUGACCAGACUUCUCCUUUAAACAUUGUGUUUAAAAACUGUAUUAAGAUCUGUAUUAUUCACAACUAAUAUAAUGCUUUUUUUGACCAUAUGACUUAGCGGAGAACGCCACAGACAAGGGGUGAAGGAGACAGACAUGAGAUCAGUGAUAGAAGAGACAAGUGAUGACAUCAGGCAAAAGAACAGAGAUGGCCCGGCACAGACGACCCCAGACUUUCAGGGAGUAGAAGUUCUCCGUUUGGGUUUAUCCUCUGUCCUUUUCUAUAGAACAGUCUAAACAUGUGUUGUGUGGUUUUUGUUCUAGGAUAAAAGGGGUUAUCUUUAAUAACCCUAACAGCCUGGUGCCGUGAUGCGGAUCCCAACAUAUCAGCUCGCUGACGAGAGGAGCAACGCGCUGAAACCCACCGGUGGUCUGAGUUAAGGACCUGUCUAAAGUCCCGGGAGGUAACUUCCUCACUACGCCAGCGUCAUAGGUUAACUCCUUUCGCCAACGAGGGAUUGACAGGAUCCGACCGGGAGAAAAGCACACCACAGCACGUAAGUUUUAAAGCGAUCGGUUAAAGUCUGUCGUUCAGGGUUUCGGGUGAUUAAAAGUUCCCCAAACAGUUGUGCAAGCGGUUUAAGUCCCUUGUAACGGGUGAUUAAAAAAAA
Molecule: long non-coding RNA, 663 nt
Organism: Fundulus heteroclitus (mummichog)
Lineage: Eukaryota; Metazoa; Chordata; Actinopteri; Cyprinodontiformes; Fundulidae
Exons: 2
Source: RefSeq, a predicted model, not a curated record